AGAGUUUGAUCAUGGCUCAGAGCGAACGCUGGCGGCAGGCCUAACACAUGCAAGUCGAGCGGGCACCUUCGGGUGUCAGCGGCAGACGGGUGAGUAACACGUGGGAACGUGCCCUUUGGUUCGGAACAACUCCGGGAAACUGGAGCUAAUACCGGAUAAGCCCUUCGGGGGAAAGAUUUAUCGCCAAAGGAUCGGCCCGCGUCUGAUUAGCUAGUUGGUAGGGUAACGGCCUACCAAGGCGACGAUCAGUAGCUGGUCUGAGAGGAUGAUCAGCCACACUGGGACUGAGACACGGCCCAGACUCCUACGGGAGGCAGCAGUGGGGAAUAUUGGACAAUGGGCGAAAGCCUGAUCCAGCCAUGCCGCGUGAGUGAUGAAGGCCCUAGGGUUGUAAAGCUCUUUUAGCGGGGAAGAUAAUGACGGUACCCGCAGAAUAAGCCCCGGCUAACUUCGUGCCAGCAGCCGCGGUAAUAC
This 474-nucleotide ribosomal RNA is filed under the name uncultured bacterium. RNAcentral's name for it is "bacterial SSU rRNA". It matches the Rfam family "Bacterial small subunit ribosomal RNA", at positions 8 to 526 of the family's 1533-position model. The record is from RNAcentral.